CCUACGGGUGGCAGCAGUGGGGAAUAUUGCACAAUGGGCGCAAGCCUGAUGCAGCCAUGCCGCGUGUGUGAAGAAGGCCUUCGGGUUGUAAAGCACUUUCAGCGGGGAGGAAGGCGUUAAGGUUAAUAACCUUGUCGAUUGACGUUACCCGCAGAAGAAGCACCGGCUAACUCCGUGCCAGCAGCCGCGGUAAUACGGAGGGUGCAAGCGUUAAUCGGAAUUACUGGGCGUAAAGCGCACGCAGGCGCUCUGUCAAGUCGGAUAUGAAAUCCCCGGGCUCAACCUGGGAACUGCAUUCGAAACUGGCAGGCUAGAGUCUUGUAGAGGGGGGUAGAAUUCCAGGUGUAGCGGUGAAAUGCGUAGAGAUCUGGAGGAAUACCGGUGGCGAAGGCGGCCCCCUGGACAAAGACUGACGCUCAGGUGCGAAAGCGUGGGGAGCAAACAGGAUUAGAUACCCUUGUAGUC
RNAcentral lists this ribosomal RNA (465 nucleotides) under uncultured Klebsiella sp. RNAcentral's name for it is "bacterial SSU rRNA". It matches the Rfam family "Bacterial small subunit ribosomal RNA", at positions 338 to 795 of the family's 1533-position model. Lineage: Bacteria; Pseudomonadati; Pseudomonadota; Gammaproteobacteria; Enterobacterales; Enterobacteriaceae. The record is from RNAcentral.